UGCAGUCGAGCGCUCUCUUCGGAGGGAGCGGCGGACGGGUGAGUAACGCGUGGGAACGUGCCCUUCUCUAUGGAAUAGCCACUGGAAACGGUGAGUAAUACCAUAUACGCCCUUCGGGGGAAAGAUUUAUCGGAGAAGGAUCGGCCCGCGUUAGAUUAGGUAGUUGGUGGGGUAAUGGCCUACCAAGCCUACGAUCUAUAGCUGGUUUUAGAGGAUGAUCAGCCACAUUGGGACUGAGACACGGCCCAAACUCCUACGGGAGGCAGCAGUGGGGAAUCUUGCACAAUGGAGGAAACUCUGAUGCAGCGAUGCCGCGUGAGUGAAGAAGGCCCUUGGGUUGUAAAGCUCUUUCGUCGGGGAAGAAAAUGACUGUACCCGAAUAAGAAGGUCCGGCUAACUUCGUGCCAGCAGCCGCGGUAAUACGAAGGGACCUAGCGUAGUUCGGAAUUACUGGGCUUAAAGAGUUCGUAGGUGGUUGAAAAAGUUGGUGGUGAAAUCCCAGAGCUUAACUCUGGAACUGCCAUCAAAACUUUUCAGCUAGAGUAUGAUAGAGGAAAGCAGAAUUUCUAGUGUAGAGGUGAAAUUCGUAGAUAUUAGAAAGAAUACCAAUUGCGAAGGCAGCUUUCUGGAUCAUUACUGACACUGAGGAACGAAAGCAUGGGUAGCGAAGAGGAUUAGAUACCCUCGUAGUCCAUGCCGUAAACGAUGUGUGUUAGACGUUGGAAAUUUAUUUUCAGUGUCGCAGCGAAAGCGAUAAACACACCGCCUGGGGAGUACGACCGCAAGG
RNAcentral lists this ribosomal RNA (787 nucleotides) under uncultured Pseudomonadota bacterium. RNAcentral describes it as "bacterial SSU rRNA". It matches the Rfam family "Bacterial small subunit ribosomal RNA", at positions 56 to 893 of the family's 1533-position model. The record is from RNAcentral. Lineage: Bacteria; Pseudomonadati; Pseudomonadota.